CAGAUAAUAGUUUAUUUAUGCAAAACAUGAAUUUUGGAGAUUCAAAAAUUAAAUCUGA
This 58-nucleotide transfer RNA is filed under the name Trichuris suis (pig whipworm). RNAcentral's name for it is "tRNA-Pro". The record is from RNAcentral. Lineage: Eukaryota; Metazoa; Nematoda; Enoplea; Trichinellida; Trichuridae.